RNAcentral lists this ribosomal RNA (492 nucleotides) under uncultured bacterium. RNAcentral describes it as "partial 16S ribosomal RNA". It matches the Rfam family "Bacterial small subunit ribosomal RNA", at positions 29 to 507 of the family's 1533-position model. The record is from RNAcentral.
AGUGAACGCUGGCGGUAGGCCUAACACAUGCAAGUCGAACGGCAGCACAGUAAGAGCUUGCUCUUACGGGUGGCGAGUGGCGGACGGGUGAGGAAUACAUCGGAAUCUACUUUUUCGUGGGGGAUAACGUAGGGAAACUUACGCUAAUACCGCAUACGACCUACGGGUGAAAGCAGGGGAUCUUCGGACCUUGCGCGAUUGUAUGAGCCGAUGUCGGAUUAGCUAGUUGGCGGGGUAAAGGCCCACCAAGGCGACGAUCCGUAGCUGGUCUGAGAGGAUGAUCCGCCCCCCUGGAACUUAGCCACGGUCCAGACUCCUACGGGAGGCAGCAGUGGGGAAUAUUGGACAAUGGGCGCAAGCCUGAUCCAGCCAUACCGCGUGGGUGAAGAAGGCCUUCGGGUUGUAAAGCCCUUUUGUUGGGAAAGAAAAGCAGCAGGUUAAUACCCCGCUGUUCUGACGGUACCCAAAGAAUAAGCACCGGCUAACUUCGUG